UGGGGAAUAUUGCACAAUGGGGGAAACCCUGAUGCAGCGACGCCGCGUGAGCGAAGAAGGCUUUCGAGUCGUAAAGCCCUGUCCUAUGAGAAGAUAAUGACGGUAUCAUAGGAGGAAGCCCUGGCUAACUACGUGCCAGCAGCCGCGGUAAUACGUAUGGGGCGAGCGUUGUCCGGAAUUAUUGGGCGUAAAGGGUACGUAGGCGGUUUUUUAAGUCAGGUGUCAAAGCGUGGAGCUUAACUCCAUUAAGCACUUGAAACUGAAAGACUUGAGUGAAGGAGAGGAAAGUGGAAUUCCUAGUGUGGCGGUGAAAUGCGUAGAUAUUAGGAGGAAUACCGGUGGCGAAGGCGACUUUCUGGACUUUUACUGACGCUCAGGUACGAAAGCGUGGGGAGCAAACAGG
RNAcentral lists this ribosomal RNA (403 nucleotides) under Verrucomicrobiota bacterium. RNAcentral's name for it is "Verrucomicrobia bacterium partial 16S ribosomal RNA". It matches the Rfam family "Bacterial small subunit ribosomal RNA", at positions 355 to 776 of the family's 1533-position model. Lineage: Bacteria; Pseudomonadati; Verrucomicrobiota. The record is from RNAcentral.